UGAAGAGUAAACAAAGGGGAACUCGCAUACUGGAUCGACACCCUCGACAUAUUUCCAACCUUUGUAAUUGAUCAUUCCUAAUAAUAUA
RNAcentral lists this small RNA (88 nucleotides) under Arabidopsis thaliana (thale cress). RNAcentral describes it as "ATSL091710". Lineage: Eukaryota; Viridiplantae; Streptophyta; Magnoliopsida; Brassicales; Brassicaceae. The record is from RNAcentral.